CACAUCUCCGCGCCGGCUGCCCUAGCGCUUCGGAGGCCCACUGCACUGGCCGGUUUCUACGCAGCGUCCCCCUGCUGCCCGUGGAGGGCAGGGGCUGGCUCUUCCAGGACGCAGCGUGGGCUCCGAACGGUUAGGGGUCGCGGGCGGAAGAGAGCAUCCCGCUGUCGAGGGAGGACCGCGUGGCAGCACGGUCUCGGGUGGGACUGGCCCGUGCUUGCGGCGUGUAAGCCGGGCAGCCUCCGUUAUUACAGGGAAACUAGGUCCUUGUCACCGUUUCCGAACUGACAACGGGGACGAGGGAUUGCGAAAUAGGAAAGUUUUAUUGCAAAGGAGAAACAGAGGACUUUUGUCUCCAGGCUGUGAUUCUCCCAGCGAGGGAGGACGGAGGAUAGAAUAAUAAUAGUACAAGGGCUUGGCCCCAGAUAUUAUCAGUAGCUAUGAUUAGUGUCCCUUGGUGUCCUUGAGAGAGCUGUUGCUCCAGUUCCCAGGCUUAAGUUCUUUUACUCUUGUGGGCAGUGACACUUCUGGGCUAUGAAGGAUACAAAUAGAUUAUCCUGGGACAGAAAAAAUGUUAGUCAGUUUUAUAAAAUAAGACACUUGGCGGUGGAGGGGCAAGGUUUACCCUCAGCAUGAAGUUGACCCUGGUUACAGUUCUACAGGAUGUAAGGAAAGCUCCUCUGCUAUUAGCAGGAUAGUGGGUUCUGUAAAGUGGGGGCAAGGAGAAAGAAAAUAACGGAUAGAUUAAAUUAGGUUGCUUUUUGUAAGGAUUAUUAAAAGACAAGAGUCUGGCAUGACAUGUUGAAGUGUGAGUAUUAGAGAAGCACACCCAGGCAAGCAUAUAAAGCAGGGUUUAUUUAAAAGGGGUACAAUAGACUUAUCCCAGGAAGGAGAAGGGGGCUAUAGCUGGAAGAACCCAGGCGUUUGGCCCUUUUUAUAUGUCCUAGGCUUCCUUUGUUCUCCUGCCCUCUUCCCCAUACCUUUCUCCUUCCUGCCAAGGUGACUAGGCCCAGGAUGACCAAAAGGUGGGAAACAGGUUGGCUGAAGGGGGAAGGGCAGGAUAAUGCAGCUCUAGACACAUUAAUUAACAACCUUAUAGCUCCCUGUAGGGAGGGGUAUUUCCUGGGACAGGUUACCUUAGAACCGGUUGGAGCAGGGACAGGUUCUUGAUAAGGGUGGAGGAAGGGCUCUGAAGGAAUUAAUAUUUCAAUCUCUCUGGGCAGCCUUCAACUUCCCAGGACUCACUCAAAAUUGGCCUGACUCUAUCUGACCUGACUUUAUUUAUCUCUCUAUACUGACCUGCCUGUCUAAUUCUGGCUUCAAUAUGAUUCUUGAAAUUCUAAGUACAGCCUUAUCCUGCCAAAUAAGAAAGGCAGGUGGGAUCAAGGAAAAAUUAAGCUGUAAGUGAAAAAUCAGCCUCUACCUCAGAGCAAAGCCUGUCCAAGGAAAGGGACAUGACCUUUGUCCUUGGAAAGACCCACAGAGCACUCCUAGGCACAUUCCCACCCUGCUAAGUUGUUUAUCUACAAAUGAGAUCUGCUGCACCAGGUGUCCCUGACUCAGUCAGGCUAGGUGGGGGCCCAUAGCAACCCCCUAGCAGCCACCAAUCAGCAUGAGACAGGGAAAUACCUGGGAUGCCAGGUGACCCUCCCAGUAGUUUAUGGUGUUGGGAAACCAUGUAAUUCAGCAUGAACACCCCUCUUGGCUUAAACCAAUCAGUUCAAAUGAAUACCCCUUCUGUAGUAACCAAUCACCCCUACCCAACCUGUUCCCGCCAGUGAAUGUGCUAAUCAUGUUUUAGAGUUGUUAUUUGAUUUUCCCGUGGUGUGUGAUGAUUUGCUAAGAGAUGCUAUGACGUAUGUGGGGGUAGGGACCCCUUCUCCAAAGAAUGUAUAAAACUGCUGCAAACCCUGGGCUCGGGGCCUCUCAGCGUCACCAGUUGCUGUGUGUGUGUGCGGAAGACCGAGCUAGCGCGCAAUAAACACCUCUUUGCUGUUUACAUGGAUCUUGGU
RNAcentral lists this long non-coding RNA (2009 nucleotides) under Marmota monax (woodchuck). The record is from RNAcentral. Lineage: Eukaryota; Metazoa; Chordata; Mammalia; Rodentia; Sciuridae.